Molecule: non-coding RNA, 366 nt
Organism: Pelobates cultripes (western spadefoot toad)
Lineage: Eukaryota; Metazoa; Chordata; Amphibia; Anura; Pelobatidae
Source: the annotation of a GenBank genome assembly
AAUAAGAAGGGGAGAUAAGGCCUAGAGAUUGAAUUGUGGCCUAAAACAAGUCUUCUAUUCAAGUGAUACUAAAUAUUGGCACCAUCUGAGCCAGAAAGGUUUGCACAAUGGAAGCUAACCCUGAGCUGAUAGAACCAUUUUCUUUGAGGGGUUGACUGAGCCUUUGAGAUGUACAGAGUGGUGGAAAUGUUUGGGUUGUCAGAAAUAGGGAGCAGGGGGAAGGAGAAGGACUCAAGACUGAAUUUGCUCUUUGCCAAAGGAAACUGAUUUUACAAGAUAUGAAGGAACUUCUAAAAGAGACAUCUGACAAUACAAGCCUUUUUACACUGAACAAACCUGAUUUACCUCCCCCCUGCAUAAAGCACC